This 1973-nucleotide long non-coding RNA is filed under the name Volvox carteri. RNAcentral's name for it is "long non-coding RNA (VCAR_LNC001370)". Lineage: Eukaryota; Viridiplantae; Chlorophyta; Chlorophyceae; Chlamydomonadales; Volvocaceae. The record is from RNAcentral.
GGCAAAGGGAGCGGCGGUGGAGCUGAGCAGGGGGAAAACGCAAAGCAUGUAUAGGUGGAUAUCAUGAAUAGGUGGUAAAUACGACCGGUACAAUUUUUCCGGAAGCGGGAUGUUGACGAAUAUAAUUAUUCCUCUAAUUCCCGUUCCUAUCUGGGAAUCGGCUAAUUUUGCGGCGCGCGCUUCAGCUAGAGGUAUGGAACUUCGUGGUAUCGACGCCAUCGAGGUCUGAGCAUGGAUUGCCAAUCUCCGUUGGUUGUAGUCUAAAUGUUUGUUGACUAUAGUAGAUUGUAUGGUUUACGACCGUGCGGCCGUAAGCCGGAUACAGCGGUCGAAGUCUGAUGUUUGCCAGUUGUAAGACACGCAACAAAAGAAAGCAUAUCCCAUCCGAUGCUCCUAUCACAACGAGAAGUAUUGAUUAUAUUGAAAUGUGUAUUUCAUCCUGAUAGCUCUCGGUCGCGAAGACAUUGGACAUUUCGGGCGCAGGGAGGACCCUUGAAUCUGUGGAGACGGUAUUGCGGAAAGUGAUGGUCUUGCUUUGUUGACUCAUGUUCGGCAUUUCAUUUUCUGGGAACAAGCCUUGACCUGGGGACUGUCCUAUGUGCCAGCAACCAUCACUUGCACGGUCUUUGCCGAAGGGUUUCAGUCCCUACCUGACGAGUUGAUUGUUUGAAUGCAAUUCCUUCUUCCCGUUUUUGCCUCCUGUCCGCAGUUCUUGGUGGGCCCAGCGGCAACUUGUGAUUAGACAGGCGCACCGCGCGCAGCCGGCCGGACGUGUGGAAAUGGAAAACCACCGGAUAGGCCUAACAGCACGAAGGACCUACGUAAUCCAGGCUGUCGGGCCCCUGCUGUCUAGCUUCACUUUUCGAUACCUGCAAGCCUUCCCGGUGUGCUCGUCUUGCAUGACCGCAAAAUGUCACAUCUUUAAGUGGCAUUUGUGCAGUCGCUGCAUUACGCGCUAGCGCUUAGGGUACGCACUGGCGGUAUCGGCCCUCACUCUACUCCUCCGAAGGGCGGGUCUGCCUUCUAUGGAGCCACGCACACAUGACCGCGAAUUGAAUUCGCUAGGUUGCAUGUCCCUCGACGUUUUACCUCUGGCUUCUCCUGUGUUUUCUAAAUCGUCCCAUCAGGCUGGGCUAUUAAAAGUCGAAAGUGGGUGUCGAAGUACUUCAGGAGUGAAAUGAUGACUACAUGCCGGCACGGGCUGUAAGCAUGUGGCAGGCUUGGACAAAUUUGGAAUGGCAGGCGCAUGUGCCAUAUUAUUACUUGCGAAAAUAUCAGGCAGUUUGUGAUUGGUUAAGAUCGGUUUCGGUUGACAGCGUGUUACAGCCGCCGCCGCAAGGUGUCACAUCACUAUUGGCUAGAAGAGGGACAUCGCCUGCCGCACAGCCAUGCCCUCCCGCCAUUUCGGGUCCCACUGCGCGUCCAGCAUGCACAAUACAAAUCCAAACCUCAUGGAAUCAUAUACUCCGGAUCAAUAUAAUUUAAAUAAAUGCAAUUUACAGGUGGCGUUGCAGCCCCCUGUGGCGGCAGCAAACCUGAUUCGCCGCCAAACCAUUGACUGCCACAAAGACGUACACGCAAGUCAUUGCUAAUCGGUGAGCGGAUUUUCGGUUCACAAUUCACGUGAAGAGAAGUCUUGAAACAACGGAAUGAAAUUAAAAUCCUAAUUGACAUGCGAUUGUUGACGCGGGUAAAACAAGGUAGAGGGGGGGGCGAGAGUGACAACCAACUUUGACUAGCUUGAGAGGUGCGGAUACGGAGAGAACCUCCAUGUAGCAGAUGUUGACAGUGUAUUUAUGAUGGUUUUAAACAUUUGCAUAUUGGCAAGCAGUGCCAGUGCAAUAAUCACUUCGGCGGGCGGCUUCCUUCUUGUGGCAUCAAUGUAAAGCACGGUGAAGGGUCAUAGCAUUUCGUUUUUUAAUUGUUAUUCAACGGCCCAAUAUUGUCUCAGCAUUCGGAGCCUUUGAUGGUCG